Onychostoma macrolepis is the source of this 3545-nucleotide long non-coding RNA. RefSeq lists it as uncharacterized. The record is from RefSeq and is a predicted model, not a curated record. The transcript is spliced from 7 exons. NCBI's taxonomy places the organism in Eukaryota, Metazoa, Chordata, Actinopteri, Cypriniformes, Cyprinidae.
CGCAUUCAUGCGCGGAGAUUGUUUGUAACGGAGGGAUAAGAAGAAGAAAAGAAGUGAAACGCUCAUAUAAAUGAGCGUUCAGACACCAUAGUAAAACGGUUUACUAAAAUGUAAAGCAUUUGCUUCAGUUUACAUUUUGUUUUCCCUGCUAAACGUCGUGUCGAAUGAGCAACUGUUCUUUUAAAUGCUCUCUGCACCUCCAUAGUUUACGUAAGGUAUCAACAGCUAAGAGAGGACAUUUUUUUUUGCAUUUAGUGAAAUGAAUACUUUAUUUACUUUGUGUGUAUAUUUAUUUAUUUGUUGUUUGUGUGUUUAUAUGUUUAUAUUUAUAUAUAGUAGUUACAAUGAGUGAUUCUUUUUUCUCCCAGUUAUGACAGUGGCAUAUUCUCAGUCACAUAUACAGCAGCUUUUUUCCCCUUUCUUGUUUUUUUCUUUCCUUUUUGUUUUGUUUUUUGUAAAUCAAUUAGAUUAUCAGGCAGAUUAUAGAACUUUGUACUUACAAUUCAGACAGUUAAAUGAAUCAUUCACCCCCAAAUACCCGCAAAUUAUGUUAUUCCCAACCUGCAUUAUUUUUGUGAAGCACAGAUGUUAGGCACUGCAGACUUUAGUCACCCUUCACAUUUACAGUUUCAUUUUAAAUGUUUCUUAGUAUUUCUUUUUGUGUUUCACAUAAAAAAAGAAAGACGUUUCGGAACAAUGUGACGGUGAGUAAAUAAUGACAGCUUACUUUUGGGUGAACUAUUCCGUAAAUGUUAAGAGUUUUUCAAUUCCUCUUUUGUAUAAUGUCCUUGUUAAAUAAAACUGGGGUUUACAAGAGAGCUUGAACUGCAAUAGUCUGGCACACAUAGAGACUAUAUAGAAUCUGUUCAUCUGGAAGUGUAAGCACUGUAUUGACUGUUGAGCAGCUUUUCAAAAGGUUAAUUUUUUUUUUUGUACACAAAAUUGUUGACUAUUGUGUAUAGGGCAGUAUUCACACUCUCGUAUGACCUUUUCAAAGUCCUCAAGGUUUAGGUUUCGUAAAGAUAAUUUGAAACCUCUUAUGGAUUCUUCACAUUUUAUGGAUAUUGUGUUUAUUGCUGAAAGAAUGUUAAAGACUGUGAAUUCAACAAUUCAUCUCUGCACAUAUGUAUGAAAUAAGGACAGCUGGCCUUUUCCCAGAAGAGACACAUUAAGAUUACAAAUAAUUUCUGCGAUAAUAGGGACAACAUGAUCUGUAGUUCUCUAGGUGAACAUUCGCAUUACUUUCCUCAAUAUGCACUAACUGCUAUUUAGUAUGUGCGCCGCUAAUAGAUAUUUUAAUAAUUCAUCAGUAUGUAUUGUAAAUUAUUCACCUCCCUGUAUGGUCAUUGGUGCCGUUGAACCUAACCUAGUUUAAAGCCAUUCAUCCUGACAGAAGUAAGAUUGAUCAUUUAGGUUAAAUGUAGGUGGGUUAUAAGUCUAUGUGUCAUCCAACAAAUAACAUGCAUUUGGCUAAUAUUUAGACUAAAGUCAAUAUAAGCUGUUAUCACUGCAAAUGAGCCCUAAAAUGCAGAGAACAGUAAACGCCACUCAGUUCAUUAGCUAGACCACACAAUAUUGAUGCUGGGGUAGCAUAUGAACUCCAUUUCUAUUCGUCUAUGUUUUCAAGAAUCAGCAGAAUUAGAUUGAAGACUGCAUCUCUGCUGUCCCAGAGGCAUAUUAUGCUGUUGUCCCUUGACUGCAGUAACUAUUGUUCUAAUGUACAUAAUUGGCAAUUGAAUAGAUUCAGAGCAUUAAAAGCUGCUUAUUUGCCUCUUGCAACGUAAAGAAUGCUUUGAAGCUGGUAAUAUGAGCUCCAAAUGCACUGAUUGAAUGUUUGCAAUAUAUAACCAGAUUUAUUAACACAUUUCGUAGGUUUGUAACUGUUUUAAAAUAAUGGGCUUUUCAAAGUACGGCUGCUUAUUGCUAUCACUUUAUGCGUAGACAUGAUUAAAAGGAAUGUUCCAAACAGUCGUAGUUUGAAACGCACAUAGUGUGUUUUCUUUUUUUUUAUGGUUUCGGAUAUAUCCCCUCGUAAUUACGUGAACUUAUAGCCAUGUUGUUGUGUUUUAUCAUCAUGCAACAUAAGCCUAAUCAACCCCAACAACCUUGUGAUAAGCUUAGCUUAUGGCCAAAAGGUCUCCAACCUGGAGCAGAUGUUCCAAAGCUUAUAUCAAAGCUCAAGCUAAAGUGUUCGUUUAGACAGAUUGGAUUUGCAGCGGUGUGGAGGGGUUGGAGAUGUUGGCUUUGUGAUUUCGGCAGGAUUUGGACCAUCAGCGGACAUGCCUGGAGGAGGACAGUAGCUGUCUGCGAGCUGAGAUCCAGGAGCUGAAAACCGACAUUAGACCCCUCACAUAAGUGAUCCAUCGCGCUCAACACAUGCUCGGCCUGGAUGUUCGCCAUAGUCUCCUGUGUACAACGUGCCCAUGCCAAGAUCCUGCUGCUGUACCUUUAGCCGUGACAAGUCGGCCUCUGCGCCAGCUGUGCCCAUGGGGCGUCAUCGGUCGUAACAAGAGUUGGUGUGCCUGCUUCAGCGCAACCCCGUUGUGGUGUUAGAGGAUAAUAACACUCUGCUUCCUUUUGUCAGUGUGUUUUGCUGGAUGAUAAACACAGGGGAGGAAGGACCAGCAGAGGAGCUCAGGCUCGAAGAGUCCAAAGCCAGAGGACCUAUGAAGGCUCAGGUGGAAGAUCUGAGGAAACAGCUCAAGGCCAAGAGCAGGAUUAUUCAAAGUCUGAAAGAGGAAAUUAAGACUCCUUUGUUCCAGAGUGCACAAAAGAAGAAUGAGGUGGUGCAAGUAAGAAAGAAGAGAAAGUCAAGCAUUUGACCACUGCAAGAGGGUCUGCAAGAAAAGGCACAUGCACUUUGGUAAAAGAGGGUGAUACUGAAGGCAGAGGGGAAGAUUCUGCAUUCAGGAAUUUUGCUAACCUAGAGAGCUCACCACGAGUAGACAGUCGAUGAUUACCAGCGCACCUCCAAGCCAAAACCAUCAGCUCACAACGUGAACAAAACAUUUUAACCGCUGAGUAUUUGAUAAAAUUACAUAAAUUGGUAUUGGUACAACACAAGUGUGGCCGUCGGCUGUCAUUUGCGUCUCUGUGAGGGGAUUUUUCCUGCUUCAGCUGUCCUCUAUUCUCACAGUGCUAGUGAACCCGCAUACAUGACUAGACCCAUUCAGCAUUUAUGUCGAUGUGUGUGUUAGAAGCGAACAUUAAAAACUCCCUAACACAUCCCACAAUGCCUGAGAAUGUUCUCUGGAGUCCUCACAGUCACGGAGUAACUCCUCUGUCUGCUGUGGAACCUCCUGAGGCCAUAAACGCUCCAGUCACCGCGUGCAUCUGCUUUGUCUGCCAGAUCUUCCUCUCUGUUGUGGGAGCAUUUGCUCAAUACCUCUUGCCUGUGACAUGACAGGGCAAAAUGACACCGUUUUAACGCACCCUUCACUGAAACACAAAAAUGUGAGGAAGAUUUGUUAGCCGACAAAGCUGGAAUUGUAUCAUUUUGUGGAUCAACAACACUUUGAAUUGUAAUAUUUAACUAAACUGGAUCA